Molecule: long non-coding RNA, 364 nt
Filed under: Anas platyrhynchos platyrhynchos (common mallard)
Lineage: Eukaryota; Metazoa; Chordata; Aves; Anseriformes; Anatidae
Description: lncRNA (ENSAPLG00000027715.1)
Source: RNAcentral
UGGACCUCUCUGUAUUAAUUCUUUCCCCAGGAAGCUGAGCCAGGACUAGGAAAAAAGGUGUUAAAAGGAACAUUUUCCCUCUUAUUUAUUUGUUCAUUUAUUUAUUUAUUUAUUUUCAUUUGGUAUAGGCACCUAAUUCAGAUGAGGGCCUCCUCAGGUAUACUUCUAAAGGCACGUAAGAGAGGACUUGUUGAGUGGGAGCCAUAUUGUCUAGCUUAAGGCUUAAUUAGAAUCAUUCACAUCACAAGCACUGUGGCCACUGCAUCAGGGAAUCCAUGGAUGAGAUACUUACACCGUAAAUCCAUUCAUUAAACAGUAUUAUUUACAGUCCUCAGAAGAAAUUUCUGUAAGUGUUCCUGGAAAA